This 74-nucleotide transfer RNA is filed under the name Bifidobacterium longum subsp. suis. Its description in RNAcentral is "tRNA-Thr". It matches the Rfam family "tRNA". From Rfam's summary of the family: Transfer RNA (tRNA) molecules are approximately 80 nucleotides in length. The record is from RNAcentral. Lineage: Bacteria; Bacillati; Actinomycetota; Actinomycetes; Bifidobacteriales; Bifidobacteriaceae. RNAcentral also lists the same sequence under 1 other name.
GCCACCUUAGCUCAGUGGUAGAGCAUCCCCCCUCGUUCGUGGGAAGGUCGGUAGUUCGAUUCUAUCGGGUGGCU